AGAGUUUGAUCAUGGCUCAGGGCUAACGCUGGCGGCGUGUCUUAGACAUGCAAGUCGAACGGACGAUCUUCGUGUAGCAAUACGUGAAGAAAGUUAGUGGCGAACGGGUGAGUAAUACUGGGGUAAUUUACCCCGGAGCGGGGCACAACCCAGAGAAAUCUGGGCUAAUUCCCCGUACGCUCGACUGUACACAAGUACAGACGAGGAAAGAUGGCCUCUACUUGUAAGCUAUCGCUCCGGGAUAAGCUCCUGGCCUAUCAGCUUGUUGGUGAGGUAACGGCUCACCAAGGCAUUGACGGGUAGCCGGCCUGAGAGGGUGAUCGGCCACACGGGCACUGCGACACGGGCCCGACUCCUACGGGAGGCAGCAGUCUAGAAAAUUGCGCAAUGGGCGCAAGCCUGACGCAGCGACGUCGCGUGCGGGAUGAAGUCUUUCGGGAUGUAAACCGCUGUCCUGGGGGACGAUGGAGCGCGAACCUAAUACGUUCGUGCUUUGACGGUACUAUAAGAAUAAGCAUCGGCUAACUCCGUGCCAGCAGCCGCGGUAAUACGGAGGAUGCAAGCGUUAUCCGGAUUUAUUAGGUUUAAAGGGUGUGUAGGCGGAAUUUUAAGUCAGUGGUGAAAUCUCACAGCUCAACUGUGAAACUGCCAUUGAUACUGGAAUUCUUGAGUAUAGUUGAGGUAGGCGGAAUGUGUAAUGUAGCGGUGAAAUGCUUAGAUAUUACACAGAACACCGAUUGCGAAGGCAGCUUACUAAGCUAUUACUGACGCUGAUGCACGAAAGCGUGGGGAGCGAACAGGAUUAGAUACCCUGGUAGUCCACGCCGUAAACGAUGAUUACUCGUUGUUGGCGAUAUAUUGUCAGCGACUGAGCGAAAGCAUUAAGUAAUCCACCUGGGGAGUACGUUCGCAAGAAUGAAACUCAAAGGAAUUGACGGGGGCCCGCACAAGCGGAGGAACAUGUGGUUUAAUUCGAUGAUACGCGAGGAACCUUACCUGGGCUUAAAUGUAGUAUGACCGUACCCGAAAGGGUAUUUCUCUUCGGAGCAAAUUACAAGGUGCUGCAUGGCUGUCGUCAGCUCGUGCCGUGAGGUGUCGGGUUAAGUCCCAUAACGAGCGCAACCCCUAUUGUUAGUUGCCAGCGGAUAAUGCCGGGGACUCUAGCGAGACUGCCACCGUAAGGUGAGAGGAAGGUGGGGAUGACGUCAAGUCAGCACGGCCCUUAUGUCCAGGGCUACACACGUGUUACAAUGGUCGGUACAAAGGGCAGCUACCUGGUGACAGGAUGCUAAUCUCAAAAACCGAUCUCAGUUCGGAUCGAAGUCUGCAACUCGACUUCGUGAAGUUGGAUUCGCUAGUAAUCGUAUAUCAGCAACGAUACGGUGAAUACGUUCCCGGGCCUUGUACACACCGCCCGUCAAGCCAUGGAAGCUGGGGGUACCUGAAGUCCGUAACCGCAAGGAUCGGCCUAGGGUAAAACUAGUGACUGGGGCUAAGUCGUAACAAGGUA
This 1510-nucleotide ribosomal RNA is filed under the name uncultured sediment bacterium. Its description in RNAcentral is "16S ribosomal RNA". It matches the Rfam family "Bacterial small subunit ribosomal RNA". The record is from RNAcentral.